GACGAACGCUGGCGGCGUGCCUAAUACAUGCAAGUAGAACGCUGAAGGAGGAGCUUGCUUCUCUGGAUGAGUUGCGAACGGGUGAGUAACGCGUAGGUAACCUGCCUGGUAGCGGGGGAUAACUAUUGGAAACGAUAGCUAAUACCGCAUAAGAGUAGAUGUUGCAUGACAUUUGCUUAAAAGGUGCAAUUGCAUCACUACCAGAUGGACCUGCGUUGUAUUAGCUAGUUGGUGAGGUAACGGCUCACCAAGGCAACGAUACAUAGCCGACCUGAGAGGGUGAUCGGCCACACUGGGACUGAGACACGGCCCAGACUCCUACGGGAGGCAGCAGUAGGGAAUCUUCGGCAAUGGACGGAAGUCUGACCGAGCAACGCCGCGUGAGUGAAGAAGGUUUUCGGAUCGUAAAGCUCUGUUGUAAGAGAAGAACGAGUGUGAGUGUGGAAAGUUCACACUGUGACGGUAUCUUACCAGAAAGGGACGGCUAACUACGUG
This 495-nucleotide ribosomal RNA is filed under the name uncultured bacterium. RNAcentral's name for it is "partial 16S ribosomal RNA". It matches the Rfam family "Bacterial small subunit ribosomal RNA", at positions 28 to 507 of the family's 1533-position model. The record is from RNAcentral.